AACGCACAUUGCGCCCGUUAGCAUUCUAGCGGGCAUGCCUGUUCGAGCGUCAUUUCAACCCUCAGGACCCCCCUUUAGGGGAGGGGACCUGGCGUUGGGGACCGGCCCGCCUCCGCGCGGCGCCGCCCCCGAAAUCUAGUGGCGGUCUCGCUGCAGCCUCCCCUGCGUAGUAGUAACAACCUCGCAUCGGAGCGCGGCGCGGCCACGCCGUAAAACCCCCGACUUUCUGAACGUUGACCUCGGAUCAGGUAGGAAUACCCGCUGAACUUAA
Molecule: unclassified non-coding RNA, 271 nt
Filed under: uncultured fungus
Lineage: Eukaryota; Fungi
Description: partial contains 5.8S ribosomal RNA, internal transcribed spacer 2, and large subunit ribosomal RNA
Source: RNAcentral